This 1231-nucleotide ribosomal RNA is filed under the name Ascomycota sp. L306. RNAcentral describes it as "eukaryotic LSU rRNA". The stretch from base 575 to 1231 matches the Rfam family "Eukaryotic large subunit ribosomal RNA", at positions 1 to 670 of the family's 3401-position model. Lineage: Eukaryota; Fungi; Ascomycota. The record is from RNAcentral.
CGUAGCAAGGUUCGUGGGGACCUGCGGAAGGACAUUAAAGAGUAACUUGGGAGAGAUGUGCUGGCACUGCCAGGCCCCUUCAUUCUCAACUAUUCAUCCAAACCCCUGUGCACCUUUUUAAUGAUGCGAAAGUUGAAAUACUUCCGUGUCUAAAAUAUAUAACCCUAUGAAUAUACUAUUAUUGACGAGUGUAACAAGUUGUAACCUUAAUACAACCAUCAGCAACGGAUCUCUUGGCAUCCCACUCGAUGAAGAACGUAGCGAAUUGCGAUAAGUAAUGUGACUUGCAGAACACAGUGAAUCAUCGAAUCUUUGAACGCACCUUGCACCCUCUAGUAUUCUGGAGGGUAUGCCCGGUUGAGUGUCAUGAAAUUCUCAAAUCUCUGAUUUUGUAAUAAAGUCAUUGAUCUUGGACUUGGGUGUUGUUGGAUGCUUGUCAUUCAACUCGUCCAAAAUAUAUUAGCUGGACUUUACUUCUUUUAAGUCUACCUUUGAUGUGAUAAGUAUUGAUCGUCACUGGUAGUUAAGUCGUAGUCUGCUUUCUAAUUGUCUGUUGACAACAUACUUGACAAUUACACCUCAACUCGGGUAGGACUACGCCCUGAACUUAAGCAUAUCAAUAAGGGCAGGAAAAGAAACUAACAAGGAUUCCCUUAGUAACGGCGAGUGAAGCGGGAAGAGCUCAAAUUUUAAAUCUGACGGUUUCACCGUUCGAAUUGUAAAUUAGAGAAGCGUUUUCUGUGCUAGACCUGUCAUAAGUGAUCUCGAAUGAUCUAUCAGAGAGGGUGAUAAUCCCGUUCAUGGUCAGACCACUAGUACUCUAUGAUGCGCUCUCGACGAGUCGAGUUGUUUGGGGAAUGCAGCUCUAAAUGGGGAGGUAAAUGCCUUCUAAAGCUAAAUACCUUGGGAUGACCGAUAGCGAACAAGUACCGUGAGGGAAAAGAUGAAAAGAACUUUGGAAAGAGAGUUAAACAGUACGUGAAAUUGCUGGGUGGGGAAACGCUUGAAGUCAGUCAUGUCUUCUUGGAUUCAGCCUUACUUUUGUUUGGUGUAUUUCCUUGAUGGCAGGCCAGCGUGCAUUUUGACCAUUGGAAAAAGGCAUAGGAAAUGUGACAGCUUCUGCGGGGUAUAGUCCUUUGUUGUAUACUUUGGUUGGGAUGUAAUAUACCAGCACGCUUUGUGGUGCUAUGUGUUGGGGGAAGGGUUUAACCCCCCUUUAAAAAAGACAAAA